This is a long non-coding RNA of Lycium barbarum (goji berry), 1003 nucleotides long. RefSeq lists it as uncharacterized. The record is from RefSeq and is a predicted model, not a curated record. Lineage: Eukaryota; Viridiplantae; Streptophyta; Magnoliopsida; Solanales; Solanaceae. The transcript is spliced from 3 exons.
ACUUUCUCCUUUUCCCCAACAAACUAAAUGAACCCAAACUUAAAAACCCUAAUCACCGCCUCAACAUAGCCAGGGAGACCCGACAGUAAUGCCACCAUUUUUGGCAUAGUUACAUAUCAAUUUUGUAGUUCUAGACAUAGUUUCUUCAUUUCGGGCAAAUAAUAAAUGAUUCUUGUCUUCUCCUUCAGCCAAAAGUCAAAUGUUUUUGCGAGCAUUUGGUUCUAUUGGUUCAAAAUAGAACCUUAUCAUUGUCGAAAGUUCGGUGGUGAAAUCGAUCCUCGACGCUCGUCGCCUCAAGUUCGCUGCUCCGAAAAAGACUGUUUCAGGGGAUGGAUUGAAGCAUAUGUGGAAAUACACAGUGCCUAUCUGGAAGGUCUCCUCCCACUUCAUCCUGGGAUGGAGGUUGAGUCUUAGAAUGUACGGGAAAUCUGGAAUUACUUAGUCGCUCUUGUACUAGUCUAGACCAGGUCAUGGGAAAUUGUAUCAAGUCUGUAAUCACGUAUUGUUGUAAACAUAUAAACACUUGAGUUAAUUGAAUAUAUUAUGGAGUUCCGCUAUAUUUCUAACUAUGUAAUGCUUUAAAUGAUUUGUUGCUUAAUUGAGGUGUCAAUGAAUAAGAGGGUUCGCCUACCGAGGUGGGAAAGGUAGGUGCCCACAUGGUCCCGAAAUGGGUCGUGACAACAUCUCGGAAGGUUAUAUGGAUCUUGAAAUCCUUCUUUUCCUCCUUGUUACGGAUUUGGAAAGUUAUUGCAAGAUUGGAGCAGGUUGGAAUUGGUGUUGUUGUAGGUGAUUUGAGGUAAAAUUUCCUUUCUUUUUCAUGUAAUUGAAUGUACCCAAGUCAUAGCUAGGUUAUUAGAAGCAAAGUACGGGAAUUGUGGCGGAAAUCGUAUAAGUUGUUGUUGUUGUUGUGCGGAUUGAUUUGGAGUGUAUCCUUUAGUUGUUGUGGCUGAAUCCUUGAAAUAUAACUUGUGUAUGUUAAUUUUGAUGUUGUGGUUCUUGAUGU